RNAcentral lists this ribosomal RNA (429 nucleotides) under uncultured bacterium. Its description in RNAcentral is "bacterial SSU rRNA". It matches the Rfam family "Bacterial small subunit ribosomal RNA", at positions 355 to 776 of the family's 1533-position model. The record is from RNAcentral.
UGGGGAAUAUUGCACAAUGGGCGCAAGCCUGAUGCAGCCAUGCCGCGUGUGUGAAGAAGGCCUUCGGGUUGUAAAGCACUUUCAGCAAGGAGGAAAGGGUAUGUUUUAAUAGAGCAUAUCUGUGACGUUACUUGCAGAAGAAGCACCGGCUAACUCCGUGCCAGCAGCCGCGGUAAUACGGAGGGUGCGAGCGUUAAUCGGAAUUACUGGGCGUAAAGCGUACGCAGGCGGUUUGUUAAGCGAGAUGUGAAAGCCCCGGGCUCAACCUGGGAACAGCAUUUCGAACUGGCAGGCUAGAGUGUGAUAGAGGGUGGUAGAAUUUCAGGUGUAGCGGUGAAAUGCGUAGAGAUCUGAAGGAAUACCGAUGGCGAAGGCAGCCACCUGGGUCAACACUGACGCUCAUGUACGAAAGCGUGGGGAGCAAACGGG